UGAUUAGCUGUGCCUUGGUGCUCUCACCUGGAGAAUGGGGAUUGAAACCCCCACUGCCUCUUGCACGGAACUGCUGGAACCCUCCAUGGAGACACCACCUGUGAAGACUAAGAAGGGCCACAAAAAGGCGGUCCGAGAAGAGACAAAGAGCACUAGAGUAAAAACACUGCAGGCCACAUUGAGACGUGAAGGUGACCUGCCCUCCAGUCUCCCACCGGGCCCAGGCAGCGCCCUCAGAGAUCUUGGCUCGAGGCUGCAGCUCUGCCGCCAGGGUAUUUAACCCUCGAGCCUCAGUUUCUCCUUCUGCACAAACAAGCCACUCAGGGUGGAAAGGGCCUGGUAAGGGUGAACACUCAGCCAGCCACAAAGCAAGUCCCGAGAUAACUUGGGUAAGUCAUCCCUCUCUCUCUGCCUCAGUUCCCCCACCUGUAAGGGGGAAGCGCAGACACACCCUGACGACCUCCCGGCUGUUCAGAAGCUAGAUUCACUUGUGAAGGUGCUCUUUGCUCCAAGUGCUCCAUGCCUGUGAGCAAUGGGCACCACCGUGACAUGUGCUAGGUGGGAAAGCUGGGAAUGGGCCCUCGUGUGCCCCUUCACAAGCUCUGUCAGGCCACGGUUUCUGGGCAGCUCUGAAGACUGAGCCUCCCCCACAAGCACUAGGAUUCCCUAGAAGGAGCCCUGGAAAGGAGGGAUAGGGCAGUGAGGGCGAGAUGCUCAAGCACCUGGGAACUUGUUCAGCCGGCUCUUUGCAGCAGUGGUUAGGGCCCUCCCAGGGGCUCCUGUGAGCACUCUGGUCCAGUGGACUGUCAUGGGAAGGUGGGGAAGACAGCUGACUUCAGGCUUCCAGCAGCCCCUCUCCCUGGAGGGCCAGACCCUCAUCUGGCCCAGCCCUUCCCUCUGCAAGCUGCACAGGACCCAGGGCGGAGGCAAAGGAGGAUGCUGUCAAGGGUGUAAUAAAUGACUUAUUGACUGGUAAGCAGAGUUCUCAGGGCUUGGAGCAUGACCUUCCGGCAAUUAUGCCCUCCACUGCCUGCCCAAGGACCCCUCCCUCUCUGUGGAGGCUCAGGUCUGGCUGGGCCCCUUCUCCCCAAGACCCUGCCCUGACCUGUGCCCAGCCCUGACCUGCAGGGGCCUGAGGCCUGCAGACAAGGUGCCCCUGGGGCUGCUAAUGUUCCUCCCCCUUGUGCCCACGGGAAGAGGCACCCUCUCAGACCAACCCUUAAAAUGGCACAGGCCGGAGAGAGAAGACCGACGUGCUGGCUGGGAUUGGUCUGUGGGAACAGCCCAGUUCUGCCCGGCAGCUCUUUACUGAGACCAGAGUCCCACUGGUGGGGCGGCUGCAUUCGACACGGGUGGUCCAAGGUUCCUAUACGCUCACCACGCCAUCGCUCAAGUCAUCGCUGUGCAGCCGGCUGUCACGGGAACAUCUGGCGAGGUGUACGGGGGUAAGACCUGGUCCCAGCCUAGGGCGCGGAUGCAGAGUGGAUGGGUUCCUGGAAGCAACACUGAAUUUGGAGUCCAGAGACUAGGUAACACCCCAACUAGGCUCUGACAUAAAGUCUGGAAGCUUGGGGUGGGUCACUUCACUUCCCUGAGCCCCAUAAGACCUUCUUUUCAGAGUCAUUACAAGGGGUCAAUGAGACUCAAUGUGGGCAAGAGAACAGGCCCAGAGUAAGAGGGCAGCUGGGGCCUGGGACGGCCUACAACACACCAGGCACACAGAUGGAGUGUAUGUGGAUGGGACCCUCGCUAACCAAGGGGAAAGCAAACGGAGCAGUCACCUCAGCAUGUCUGACAGCUGAAGAAAGAAUGGAGGGGUGUGUGUGUGUGUGUGUACAUGUGUGUGCGUGCAUGUGUGUGGCAAGGGACUGGAAGAGGAAGAUCCAAGGCUUAUCUGAGGCCCAAAGAGCAACGAGCAGACCCUGUAGAUAAUAAAUAAAGCCCUUUCCACCCACAUGAACUAUGACCAUGAUCCCACCUCCUCUCUGUGAGGCGAGGGGUACAGGAUUCAUUAUCCCCCAUUUUACCGAAGAGGAAAUCGAGUCCCAGGGGGCUGAAGAGAUGUGCUCAGGACCACACGAAGCCAGGAGUCACAAUCCAAGCCAGGGCAGGGCCAGCGUUGGGGGGUCCUGCCCUCCCUGUCUUCCCUGGGAAGGGAACCCGUCGCCCCAUGAACAGCCCGCUGCUUGGACCCGUGAGCAGAGCAGGAGGCCCGUGCAUGAGGAAGCAGAGAGCAUUCAAGCAGCCAUGAAAACAGAAAGAGAAGAGAGGUCCGGAUCCAGCCUGAUCUCACACCGGCUUCUCUCUUACGAGGAAGGUAGCGUCCUCUAGAUAGGAUUUUGUGCUUCCGUCCUGUGUUGGAACAUCCUGGGAGCCCUAGCCUCUUGGCUCCCCAAUACUGCCACGAUUUCUGCUGUGUGCUUGUGCCCUACAGAGCUGAUGGAACUCCAAGGCACUCAGGUUAUUUCCAGUAUUUCGCAAUUACAAACUAUGCGCAUAUGUAUUUUGUAUUGAAGGGAAGAGUUCUGGAAGUAAGGUUGUUGGACCAAAAAACAGAGAAUAUAAUGCGCUGCUGUGAAACACUGGCCAACUAUCCACCUGAAGGAUUGCACCAAGGAGCAGUUCCACGCAACGUCUGCAAGUGUGUAUCACCCAGCUUCCCAACAGAAGGUGUGGUCCUAAUUUUUAAUUUUGUCCAGUCUUACAAAGUGAGAAGUGGCAUCUCAGGGUUGUUUUCUUUUGCAGUUUUCUAACUCUGAGUUUUAAUAUUUUUUCAUGUGUUUGAGGGUCGCUGUUGUAUCUUGUUUUACGAAUCGUCUGUUCAUGUCUCUUUUCUUCCUUUUUUACCAGGUUUUUGGUCGUUUGUUCCUCAAUAUUUUGGAAUGCUUUCUGUAUUGGGAUAUUAAUUCUUUGUCUGCGGUGUAUGUUACAAGC
This is a long non-coding RNA of Ailuropoda melanoleuca (giant panda), 2934 nucleotides long. RefSeq lists it as uncharacterized. The transcript is spliced from 3 exons. Lineage: Eukaryota; Metazoa; Chordata; Mammalia; Carnivora; Ursidae. The record is from RefSeq and is a predicted model, not a curated record.